RNAcentral lists this long non-coding RNA (5647 nucleotides) under Nicotiana tabacum (common tobacco). RNAcentral's name for it is "long non-coding RNA (NTAB_LNC015206)". The record is from RNAcentral. Lineage: Eukaryota; Viridiplantae; Streptophyta; Magnoliopsida; Solanales; Solanaceae.
UCUGAUGGCUGCAGUAAGGGGCGCAGGUGCCUGAUCAUCUCGGGUAGCACGUGUACUCACCAUCUAUGAGAGAAUAGAAGACAGAAGUUUAGAAUUGUGAUGUCAAAAUAUCGCACGACAAGGAAAUCAAAUGAAGUGGAAAUUUUCCNNNNNNNNNNNNNNNNNNNNNNNNNUGUCGUGACGGCACUUAGUCUCUACGACUAGGUAAGCCUAACAAAUCCAGAAAAUAAACUAAACUUGCGGAAGAAAUAAUCAAAAGCCGAGAAUAACUGGAAGUAACAAUAUUUUAAAUGUCGCUCGACAUACACAACACAACUUCUCAAAAACUGAUACACUAUCCCAAAACCUGGAAACUCACAUAUCCACAAGCCUUUGGAUAUCUAACAAUGUCUAACUCAAGAAUAUCUAACAAAGUAAGAAAUACAGAAGGGAAAAUGUUUAAAAGCUAGAAUAGAAAGGGACUCCUCGGUCUGCAGACACGACAGAUGUACCUCGACGUCUCUAGAGUAGUCGCCUCACCUCAGGGUGGUAGGACUGAGUCGACGUACCUGGAUCUGCACAUGAAAAAAACAUGCGCAGAAAGGGCAUGAGUACACUACAGCGGUACUCAGUAAGUGUCAAGCCUAACCUCGACCGGGUAGUGACAAGGAAGGUCAGGGCCCUACUGAGAUUAACCAGAAAUAUAGAGUUCAACAGUAUAGAACAGAACAAUAUAAAUAAGUACAAUAGUGAAAAUAACACAGGAUAUACAUGACAGAAACAACUAUAAAAAAGCAAGACAAACACAGAAGGGAAUACAGCUCAGCACCAAUAAUAACAAAUUGGGGAUCUCCCAAGAUACCGUCCCGUAGUCCCAAAUACACAUAUCCGAUAACUCUCCCGAGAUACUGUCCCGUAGUCAAACUCAUAGUGUGCGGGGAUCUACCGGAAUCCCGUUCUGUAGUCCCAAAUGUAAAUACUCAGUACUGGGGAAUCUACCGGAUGCAGUCCCGUAGUUCAAUAUCACAGAUAAGGGGGAUCUACUGGAAUCCCACAUCCGUAGUCCCAAAUAAACAGGCUAGGGGGAUAUACCAGAAUCUCACAUCCGUAAUCCCAAAUGUAAAUACACAACAACAACAUGUAAAUAUAUUCAGCAAAUGUCAGUUUCAUAUUAAGGCAAACAAGUAAUUCUAGACUAGCAUGCUGCACAGAAUUCAAGUAAGGCAGUUUGAGCAAGUAAAGCAAUUAAGUCACUUAGACAUGCUUUCCUAAGCUAAUAACAGGCUUAAUAGGGCAAGUAAUAAAAACAGGAAAGGGAACAUACUAGUAAUUACUUAAAGAAAACAGGAUUUCCAACACGCACAAGGCAUUUCAAUUACCAAAUAUACCAAAUCCUAAGGGGAAGGUCCCACACACAAGGUUACACUCGGAAUCGGGUAAACUUUACAUUUCCAGAAUCCUCACACUCUCACAAGUCUAACCAUACCAAAAUUAUCCCAAUCCAAUGUCAAAUCCCCAAUCAAAACUCAAAUUCUUGGUCUAAGAACUUUCCCCCAAUUUUCAUACAAAUUCCGAAAUUAUAUGAUGAAUUCAUGUUUAGAUUAAUGGGUUACGAGCAAAAAGGAGUUAAGAAUCGUUACCCAAUCAAUAUCUCUCAAAAUCCCUCAAAACCUCGCUCAAAUCCGAGCUCCCAAGCUUAAGUUUUGAUAAAAAUGGUAAAACCCUCGAUUUUGAAAUUUUAUAUUCUGCCCAGAUAAUCCUUAAUCGUGAUCGCAGAACUCCCUACGUGAUCGCAUAAGACAACUCCCUCAAAGCAACCGAUCGCAACCAGCUCUAUGCGAUCGCAUAGAGCAAAUUCCAUCACCCACUGUCGCAUUAAAUCCUUCUACGCGAAUGCAAUGGUCCUCAUGCGAACGCAAUGACCAACAAACUCACCAUAUGUGAUCGCACUCCUUACUCUACGAGCACAACUCACAACAAAGUGCCUGGUCUCAGCUUACUCUACGCGAUCGCAGGUGAUCGCACGCGAUCGCAACGAACAAAUCACUGUUGCAGAAAUACUAGCAAACCUGCAAUCUCCCAAAGGCCAAAAGUGCCCGUUUGAGCAUCCGAAACUCACCCGAGCCCCCCGGGACCUCAACCAAACCUACCAACAUAUCCCAUAACUUCAUUCAAACUUGUUCCAACCUUCGGAACACUCAAAACAAUAUCAAAGCACCUAUUUUUGAUCGGAUGCAAGACUAAGAAUCCCAAAAACUCUAAAAAUAUGUUUUCGAUCAAAACGUCUAUCAAACCUCGUCCGAAUGACCUGAAAUUUUGCACACACGUCACAUUAAACACUAUGGAGCUACUCCAACUUCUAGAAUUCCAUUCCGUCCCUCGGAUCAAAAUCUCACUAUCGAACCGGAAACUUCAAAAAUUCAACUUUCGUCAUUUCAAGCCUAAAUUAACUAUGGACCUCCAAAACACAAUCCGAACACGCCCUUAAGCCUGAAAUCACCCAGCGGAGCUAACGGAACCAUCGAAUUUCCAUUCCGAUGCCGUCUUUACACUAAUCCGUCUACGGUCAACUUUCCAACACUUAAGCUCUCAUUUAGGGACUAAGUGUCCCAAAACUCUCCGAAACUCAAAACCGAACAUCCCGGCAAAUCAAAAUAGCAGAAAUAAACUUGGGGAGAGCAGUUAAUAGGGGAUUGAGGCGUUAAUUCAUAAGACGACCGGCCGGGUCGUCACAUUUUCUUUCCUCUCUUUUUCUUUCUGAUCACCCUUUUCUUUUCUCUCAUUUCUCACAUCCCAUAACUUCAUCUUUUCUUUUUCUUUUUCCUUUUUUUUUAAUUUCACAAAUAUUUGAUCGAACCCUAUGUAGGUUUCAUACGUAUCACGACGUCGCAUGAAUCAGAUCUUUACAUAGUUCGGGAAGAUCAGGAAUAAAGUAAAUAAAAUAAUUUAUUUUUUUAGAUUUUGAUUUUUUUUUUAUUUUUUUAAAAUUCCGAAAGAAAGACUUAUAAAGAAGAAAGAAAAUAUUUUUGGAUUUCAAUUUUUGUUUUGAAAUAUUUUUUGAUGUCGAUUUUUUGUUUGGUCUUUUUUUGGAAUUUUGAACGAAAAAACUUCUAAACCGCGUAGUUCGGCCAUUUUGACAUAACAGAGGAAACAUGACUUUUUUGAAAAUAUUGGCUUAUUUUCUCUCUUUUUUUGCAAUAUUUUGGCAGAGUUUCGAAAUUUUUCAAAUACCUAUCUCUCACUCUUGUUUUUUAUUUCUUUUUUAUUUUGUUUCCCUAUUCUAGAAGCUAAUCAACAUGCAAGCCGAAACAAAUAGAUGUACAAGUAGCACGCAAGAUGCAUCAAGAUGAUCUUUUAAUUUAAGCAAACAUAUCCUAGACAGACCUAACCCCUGUGUUGAGUCCCCCAAGUCAAAUGCAUGUGAUGAAAACGAACGUACCUACUAGGGAUCGGGCAUGAGGCUAUGUAAUUAUAGGUUUGAAUAAUGGGGUGUGUUGUUCUAGACCUGGGUUACCCAAGUGAAUAACUCGAGAGAAGGGGGCAACGUACCGUGAACCAAAAGGCCAUCCGGCUUUGUAACUGAUCCGAUCCUCAUUCUAAAUUAGGGUAUGACACUAAUAGAAAAGAAGUCACACCAGUGUGCACUUCCUAGAAGACUUAGAAGACUCAGAGAGAAGAAGGGUUUCAUAACAGUUUAUAUACAGUUCACACAAUAUCAAAGCAGUAAAAAGCAACAUUUAGCACAUUAGGCUCAAACACGUUAAAAAUCAGAUAAUAAACAAAAGUCAACAAUAACAGUUAUUCUAAGCUCGAAUUCUGAACCCUGAAACAGAAGUUCUGGGUUCUACUUCCCAGCAGAGUCGCUAGAGCUGUCACACCUCCUUUUUUCCGAGGGGAUAGGGAGUUUUUUUUAAUUUAAGUGACAUUAAUCGAAAUGGAAUUAUUUAAUUAAUCAGAGUCGCCACUUGGAAUAAUUUGUGGUAUCCCAAGUCAUCGGUUUAUUUUAAAUCCCAAAUCGAGGAAAUUUGACUCUUAUUUAUGGUCCGCGAACACAAAAGACCGAGUAAGGAAUUCUCCUAACCCGAGAGAAGGUGUUAGGCAUUCUACGGUUCCGUAGUUUUAGCACAGACGCUCAACUAUUAAUAAUUGGCCUAACUAUCUGAUCUAAUACAUAUUUAAAAUUUAUUAUCCAUUUUUAACUUUCUAACCGCUUUUAAUUAAUUUAAUUGUCUUUUAGUAUUUAUGGAAUUUAUUUGAACAAGUCGUGAUAUCGCGCACUCGUUUAUUUUUGUACAUAUUGUGAAUCGCGUCAUGUGAAAUGCACUCGCGAUUUACAACAUAUUUAUUUUAUUAUUAUUUGAAGUCGUGGCCGAGUCAUGUGAAACACACACUCGAAUUUGGAAUUUAAUAACCAUGCCUUCCAGUGGCAUCGGUUUAUCAAAUGGAAUCGAGUCAUCGGUUUAUCAAAUGGAAGGCAUGGUUAUUAAAUUUCAUCCUAAAUCAGUAGUUUAGGAUGAGCAAUUUGUUGUAGAAGGAUAAUUAACAAAAUAGAAGGUCUUAGUUAAUCCCUACACCGGUUGCCUUGAAUGGAAGAUAUUAUUAACAUUAAUGCAAGAAAUGCAAUAAAUGCCCACUGGAAGGCAUGGUUAUUAAAUUUCAACAACAAAGUAAUUGCUUAAACUGAUUUUAAGACCAAUAAACACAUGUUUUUGGAAAAUCAACAUGAUCAUUCAACCAACCUAUUUCUUGUGCAAUCCUAGGGGACGAACAAAAUACUCAAAGGAGCUGGUUAUGAAUGUAACAAAAGUACAAUUCUUAAAACGCGAAGAUCAAAGUGUAUUUUAACAUGAAACAUGAAGGCAAAUUGGUGCAAGCGUCAAGCAGAUACUAGAAAAGACAAACAGAUCAAGGUAUUAAUAAGCUAGAGACGAGUCGAUCUAUCCCGCAAACUAAAGUAUAAUCUGAACGCUUCAUUUUCCAACUAUUCACGCUCAAACAUUUCGAACACCAAGCAAAUUAUCAAAUGACAAGAGCAGAAUUUCCAGUCUAGAAAUAAAUUUCCCAUGACUUUUUCAUACUUUAAUCACACCAAAUAAAAUAAAUGAGAAUCAAGAAAUGGACCUGAAUAAGAGUUCUUAAUUAUUUCUGCUCGAAAUCACCUCAAGUGAGUACAACAGCGAAAAGUCGAAAGAAAUCAGUAAUAAAGCAACAAAACAAAGCUGAGACCACGAACUAGUAGCGAAACUCGAUUUGGCAACAGAAAUCUCCAAUCGGCAAACGAACUCAGAACCAAACCUUAAUCGAAGUCGAUCUAGAACUUUUCUCCUCUCCCUCUGUCCCGAUUUUUUGUCUCUCUCGUGAGUGUGUGUGUCUAGCCGAUUCUUUUUGAAUGAGGGGAGGUUGCGGCUGAUUUCUCUAAGAUUGAGAGAGAUCUGGAAGCUGAAGGUUUUUCAAUAAGGUGGGGUGUUGUUGUCUCGUUUGGAGCUGGAUUAAUAGUGUUUGAAGGCUGGUUGACAGUGGGGAAAUGGUAGGCGACGGCUGGAGGUACUGCUCAGUUAGAAAAUGGGGUGAGAGAUCGCUGGGUGUUUUCUUAGUGGGUUGAAGGAAAAUCGGGGGGGGGGGGGGGUGCAGCUGGAAUCAGUCUUAGGUCUAGGGUUCCCCUCCUUUG